AAAAAAAACAACCAACGGUUAAAUUCUGUCACUACACUUGAACUUAUUGAAAUUAUGGAAACCAUGAAAACUAAACUAUUGGUUCAUAUGCAGGCUGGUUUUGAAUUCCAUCUGCAAUCAAGGAUGACUUUGAACUCCUGAUCCUGCUGCCUCCACCACUUGAGUGCUGGAAUUACAGGCAGAUGUCAUCAUACCAUGUAUAUAUGCUGCAAAUCAAGGGCUUCAUGCAUUCUAAGCAAGGACUCUACUGAGAGCUAUAUUUCCCAGCCAGGAGGCACUACAUUUGGAAAGACUAAUUCUCUGGAUUUGGGUACUGAUGCAGGAUACAGAGCACAUUUUCAGGAAACUUCUGAUGGGAGUGCAUGAGGUUUACAUUUAGUAUCGUUAAAUCCUUGGAACAAUCUGGUCCAGGUAUGU
Molecule: long non-coding RNA, 417 nt
Organism: Mastomys coucha (southern multimammate mouse)
Lineage: Eukaryota; Metazoa; Chordata; Mammalia; Rodentia; Muridae
Exons: 4
Source: RefSeq, a predicted model, not a curated record